CUUUUAAUGUCUACAGGUCUGCUCUUACACCGAAGCCUGGUCCUUUAGGAGGCUCUGUUAGAGAAGUCAAUCCACCUGCAGGCUCACAGGAGAAACGCCCACUCCUGAAGAAAAAGAAAAGCAAAGUUAAGAAAACUAAUUCCAGAAGAAUCACCGUGCCUUGUUCAUGGCGGAGAUGGGGAGCCAUCCAUGUUGCCUCUGGGCUACAUCCAACACUGGGAUGGUGGCUGACUGCUUGUGCCCAACAGGGUACAUUGAAAUGAUGGCCUCAAUCCUCUACAAGGGGAAAAGACAUUUUGCCAUGAAAGUGGAGUUGCUCAGAAUAAGAAUCAUUGCAUUCCUAUUUUGUACUUCAACAAGUAGAACAAUUUAACAAUGCUCACACAAAAGCAUUACCAGCACAGAUAUUUACAUGCCCUUAUCCUGUAUUUUGAUUGACAUUGGCUUUAAAAAGUAAUAUGAAGUUGAAUUAAUCAAAAUAAAUUGUCUGGCUGAAACUAAUCAAACAGAGACUGGCUUAAAAAGGGGGUAAGACUUCCACACCAUUUAUUUUAACAAUUAGUAACAGAAUAAGAUUAAGAGAGGCAUGUCUAAAAAGCUUAACUUGCUUGCCUGCAUUUGUAUUACUGAUUUAUGCAUAUUGAAAAUACAGGUUGGAAAACUUUGAGAUAUUAAUAUUGGUUUCAUAAAAAUAGUAAAAAAAAAAACAUCAGUGCAUCCUCUACAUGUACGGCAGAAUACAGACGUCAACCUU
Micropterus salmoides (largemouth bass) is the source of this 754-nucleotide long non-coding RNA. RefSeq lists it as uncharacterized. Lineage: Eukaryota; Metazoa; Chordata; Actinopteri; Centrarchiformes; Centrarchidae. The record is from RefSeq and is a predicted model, not a curated record. The transcript has 2 exons.